CCUACGGGGGGCAGCAGUGAGGAAUAUUGGACAAUGGACGAGAGUCUGAACCAGCCAAGUAGCGUGAAGGAUGACUGCCCUAGGGGUUGUAAACUUCUUUUAUAAAGGAAUAAAACGAGGCACGUGUGCCUUUUUGCAUGUACUUUAUGAAUAAGGAUCGGCUAACUCCGUGCCAGCAGCCGCGGUAAUACGGAGGAUCCGAGCGUUAUCCGGAUUUAUUGGGUUUAAAGGGAGGGGAGAGGGGUUGUUAAGUCAGGUGUGAAAGUUUGCGGCUUAACCGGAAAAUUGAAAUUGAUACUGGCAGUCUUGAGUACAGUUGAGGUAGGUGGAAUUCGUGGUGUAGCGGUGAAAUGCGUAGAUAUCACGAAGAACCCCGAUUGCGAAGGCAGCUUACUAAACUGUGACUGACACUGAUGCUCGAAAGUGUGGGUAUCAAACAGGAUUAGAUACCCUUGUAGUC
RNAcentral lists this ribosomal RNA (460 nucleotides) under uncultured bacterium. RNAcentral describes it as "partial 16S ribosomal RNA". It matches the Rfam family "Bacterial small subunit ribosomal RNA", at positions 338 to 795 of the family's 1533-position model. The record is from RNAcentral.